UCAAAUCAGGUAGGACUACCCGCCGAACUUAAGCAUAU
This 38-nucleotide ribosomal RNA is filed under the name Ramaria formosa. RNAcentral's name for it is "partial 28S ribosomal RNA". Lineage: Eukaryota; Fungi; Basidiomycota; Agaricomycetes; Gomphales; Gomphaceae. The record is from RNAcentral.